RNAcentral lists this ribosomal RNA (478 nucleotides) under uncultured bacterium. RNAcentral's name for it is "bacterial SSU rRNA". It matches the Rfam family "Bacterial small subunit ribosomal RNA", at positions 8 to 474 of the family's 1533-position model. The record is from RNAcentral.
AGAGUUUGAUCAUGGCUCAGAACGAACGCUGGCGGCGUGCUUAACACAUGCAAGUCGAACGCGAACGAGUUCUUCGGAACUUUAGUAGAGUGGCGCACGGGUGAGUAACGCGUAAGUUAUCUACCCUCCCAUCUGGAAUAACUCACCGAAAGGUGUGCUAAUACCGGAUACGUUGAUUUAUCAAGAAAGGUGGCCUCUAUUUAUAAGCUACCGUGGGGGGAUGAGCUUGCGUACCAUUAGCUAGUUGGUAGGGUAAUGGCCUACCAAGGCAACGAUGGUUAGCGGGUCUGAGAGGAUGAUCCGCCACACUGGAACUGGAACACGGACCAGACUCCUACGGGAGGCAGCAGUGAGGAAUAUUGCGCAAUGGGGGAAACUCUGACGCAGCGACGCCGCGUGGAUGAUGAAGGCCUUUGGGUCGUAAAAUCCUGUCAGAUGGAAAGAAAUGCUAUUGGUUUAAUAUGCCUUUAGUUUGACG